Molecule: RNase P RNA, 409 nt
Filed under: Mycobacterium yunnanensis
Lineage: Bacteria; Bacillati; Actinomycetota; Actinomycetes; Mycobacteriales; Mycobacteriaceae
Description: RNase P RNA component class A
Rfam family: Bacterial RNase P class A
About the family: Ribonuclease P (RNase P) is a ubiquitous endoribonuclease, found in archaea, bacteria and eukarya as well as chloroplasts and mitochondria. Its best characterised activity is the generation of mature 5'-ends of tRNAs by cleaving the 5'-leader elements of precursor-tRNAs.
Source: RNAcentral
CGAGUUGGCCGGGCGGCCGCGGCUCUCGGGUCUUGCCCGAGAGUCGAGGAAAGUCCGGACUUCACAGAGCAGGGUGAUUGCCAACGGCAAUCCGAGGUGACUCGCGGGACAGUGCCACAGAAAGUAGACCGCCGCCCCUCCUUCGGGCAGGGCGGUAAGGGUGAAACGGUGCGGUAAGAGCGCACCAGCACUCCGGGUGACCGGAGUGGCUAGGUAAACCCCACCCGAAGCAAGGCCAAGAAGGCCGCAACCUGGUUGCGGCUGCGCGGACGUUCGAGGGCUGCUCGCCCGAGUCCGCGGGUAGGCCGCUUGAGGCACCCGGUGACGGUGUGUCCAGAUGGAUGGUCGCCGCCGCACCGUCGGAAAUGACGGCGCGGAACAGAAUCCGGCUUACAGGCCAACUCGUCCG